This 468-nucleotide ribosomal RNA is filed under the name Triticum aestivum (bread wheat). Its description in RNAcentral is "partial small subunit ribosomal RNA". The record is from RNAcentral. Lineage: Eukaryota; Viridiplantae; Streptophyta; Magnoliopsida; Poales; Poaceae.
AUGGAGAAGAGGUGGAUUUUUCCGAAGCAAACGCAGACAUCCAGGGACUUUCAACAGGGGCUGCCACACAAAAAGGAAAAGGGAAAGGGGGUGGUGGUGGCGGUGGAAGAGGAGUGCGCCGCAGCGCAGGAGGAGAAUGACGGCUAUCAUAUCAUCAGCAGUGCGCCGCAUUUACUGCACUUUGUCAUGUUUUGUAAGGGGAACAGCAAGGGAAGAGUUUGUAUUUCUCUCUCUCUGAAUCCUCUGUUUCUUCCAAAACAGAAAAACAGUAAGAAAGAAAUUGGUCUGAGACUUCUCCUUCCAACACAAUCCUCUGUUUAUUGUGUUGGUAGUAGUAGACUAGUUUACUCGCUGCCCGUGGAAAGGCUUGACUUGCUGUCAAAGAGGGAUCCCUUCCUUGAUGAACAAUCAAUGUUUGGCUCCAUCACUCCCCUCUUCUAUAUGACAUAUGUCCAAAAACCAUAUUGA